AGCUCAGACGGUAAAGCGUCUGCCUACAAUGCAGGAGACCCAGGUUCGAUCCCUGG
RNAcentral lists this transfer RNA (56 nucleotides) under Bos taurus (domestic cattle). It matches the Rfam family "tRNA", at positions 9 to 63 of the family's 71-position model. From Rfam's summary of the family: Transfer RNA (tRNA) molecules are approximately 80 nucleotides in length. Their secondary structure includes four short double-helical elements and three loops (D, anti-codon, and T loops). Lineage: Eukaryota; Metazoa; Chordata; Mammalia; Artiodactyla; Bovidae. The record is from Rfam by way of RNAcentral.